Mustela putorius furo (domestic ferret) is the source of this 120-nucleotide ribosomal RNA. NCBI's taxonomy places the organism in Eukaryota, Metazoa, Chordata, Mammalia, Carnivora, Mustelidae. The record is from Ensembl.
GUCUAUGGCCAUACCACCCUGAACGCGCCCGAUUUCGUCUGAUCUUGGAAGCUAAGCAGGGUCGGGCCUGGUUAGUACUUGGAUAGGAGGAUGAUCAUUAGUUUAGUAUUACCAUAAGGC